Molecule: long non-coding RNA, 3061 nt
Organism: Salvelinus sp. IW2-2015
Lineage: Eukaryota; Metazoa; Chordata; Actinopteri; Salmoniformes; Salmonidae
Exons: 6
Source: RefSeq, a predicted model, not a curated record
CCUACCCGAUACAUAGCUUACUGUCCCGAUCGCGUCCUGUCAGCCUGAUUGUAGCCAUACUAGCUUCGAAGUCCCUCGUUUUAUUAUUAUCUCAGUAUAUUAAUAUAAUCAUAUUUCUAUAAUUCUUGUUGAAAAUUAUGUUUAUCCGUUCAUUUAGUGAUUUUUGUAAAUCGGUGAUUGUGUUCAGGGUCUUUUUUUGUUUCUAUUAACGUUCUAACUAGUAAGGUGGCUAAUUAGCCAACGCCUCCCUCCCCUACCAAACAUGGCACUGUUUUACUCAGGGCGCUUGUAAGAGCUGACAAAGAUCACAUGACGGAUGUACAUCGUCUGGCCAAGACAAGUAGCAAAGCACCGAACUCCAAGUUAAAAACAAGGAUUCAAACUUUGUGUCCAGUUACCUUUUCAACUAUGAAGCUUCGAACAGGGCCAACGUGACAGGAGAGGUCAGCAUAAGGGCUUGCUGCUCGCUACAGGUCCAUGAGGAAAAAUGAGAAACCACACAGUUUGAGUGUAGGCUGAAAAGUCAGGUGUUUGUGACACACUAUAUGCAGGUUACAACAGUCAGAGAUGAAGCCUAGUCUUAGACUAAGAAGUUCCUGUCAAUGGAGAACUGCAUUAAGAGGCGUUGCUUAGUCUAGGACUAGGCUUAUGAAACCGUUCUUAGUGCAGUAAUUGUUCAGAUGUUUUCCUUGCUGUUUAUGUGAGCUCUGUUAUGUUGGACGCAUUAGAUUACAUUUAAACAAGGACAUAUACCCUUAAUAGAAAAGUUUAAAUUCUUUAUUAGUUGUCCCCCCUUCCUGCCAUGCUACUGUAGCUAGGAAGCAAACGUAGCUAGCUUGCUAUCAUACAAGCUUAAUUGAUAAUAUAUCGUUAUAUUGUUAACCUAUUCGUUUACCAACAGUUCAGUUAAUGUAUAGUGCUUCUACGCCUGCAUUGCUUGCUGUUUGGAGUUUUAGGCUGGGUUUCUGUACAGCACUUUGUAACAUCAGCUGAUGUAAGAAGGGCUUUAUAAAUACAUUUGAUUGAUAUUGCUGUAAUGAAUUUAGUGGCUGUUGCAUGUUGCGCCAGUCAUUUCUGUUUGCUGGUCGUGACACAUGUUGAGUGAUUUUAGUCUAAUCAUUUUCUUUUUAUUACCCCACGUGGGUUGUACUGAAGCCCUGUGAGCCAGUAACAAUGACACCACACAGUUGCAUUACUAUUCCAGUCUGCACACUAAGAUGUAACACCAGUCGUCACACCUGUGCACAGCUGCACAGAGGCCGAGCAGCAGUGGCAUAAGCCAAGGACUAUGGGUCUGCAACCUGGGCCCAUAGGCAAAAUGACCAUCACCAAGCCCACCAAAAAGCGCAUGGCAGAAGGACGGAUUAGGUUGUUUCAAGUACAUUGUUUAGAUUGGCUAACCACAGCGGCUGCUUUGCGGAAGUACACUCUACAGCGCCCUUUUUGGAACGCUCCCUGACCUCUCAGUUCUCCAGAUAGAAGAGGAAAACAAGAACUUUGACCCUCUAUCCAAGCCAUUGAUCUGCAGCAUGGGGAUGUCUGCUGAAAAGCUUUUAGCUGACUCCCACUUUGGAAAGGUAUAGGUGGGGAGCCUCCUGUCUUACCAGCAGCCUCCAAUCACAACGUGACCAUAGUUCACUAUAAGGAGACACCACCAUUCCCUUUACUGCCCCUGGGUGGCUACAGACUGGAGAGCAACUUUCAAGGCUGCACUUGUGCUCAAUGAAGAAGACCAGCUUCACAUAGUCUCUUCAGUAGAUGGAGGCCAUGCUGCAAUGUCAGAUGAGAGGCUAGAGAAGGCCUACAUUACAGUGGAGUGGAGCCCUCGGCCAGCUCCUCCCAUCAUCAGCACAGCCAAUGGACAUGUCAAGAGGAAAAGGGGUGAUAUCAUCCCUGGUCAGCAGUGAGACUGAUGACAACCAGCAGCAGUCCACAAUGCUCUUAAUGUGCUGGAGGACCAGUUGGAGGACCAGAGGAAGCCGAGGAAGGAUGAGCCCCCACCCAGCCCUGGUCAACUCUACGUGGGCAGCUUCUCCAAGGCCACCCCCUCAAAGUGCCCGCGGCUGUAUUGCUCUAGCUCUUCCACCACCCAACCUCAGAACCAGACCACCUAAUCGUCCAUUGUCUUAUCCCGCAUCACCACAUCCCCAGUGGGUCAGCCUCUCAAUGUGGCUGGCUUGCCUGUGGCCACUGUCCAAACUCCACACCGGCUCUCAGCUCUUCACCCACUACACCACUGGCAACACCUCUGCAGGAAAGAGAGGCUCUCCAUGCAGCCUCCAGGGUGACUGUGCUCAACACUACCACAGAGUCAGGGGUGGGGACCCCUCUACAGGUGCUUCAUCUAACCCAGGAGAGGGUGCAGGAGUCUGGGGACAUGGAGAGCCAGAGGCUGGGGGAGGAGAGGAUAGUACUUGUGCAGCAGGGGGUACUACUGGACACUCCAGAGAUUCAGACACACUAGGCUGGGAACAGUGGGGUCUCAAUCAGAGAUGGAGGAAGAGGGGGAGGAGAAGGAGCAGGGGAGGGACAGGAGAAUGAAGGUACAGAAGGAACGGUUGCAUAAUGUAGAGCAUGUCUUUGGCAAGAAGAGGGCAAUUAAAGAACAUAAAACCAAGUGAGAGAAGAGAGAACCGUAACGAAAACAGUUAAAAGAAAAUAGAGUGAGUGAAUGAGCGAGGGAGUGUGUGUGAAUGUGUCCAUGUGGAAGAGAACAAGGUGGUGAACUUCGCCAUGUCAUGUUUAACUCCACACAGACAUUUUAACGUACAGUACUUUUUCACAUGGUGUUUAUUACUGCAGUGCCCAUAGUACUUUAAUUACCCAUGGUCUUCAUCAUCAAGGACAUUGAAAUACUUAAUGAUAGGGGAGAGUCAGCUAAGUUGAGCCAUGUUUUACAUUCAGCAUUAAUCCGUCUAGGGAAAUAUAGUAUUCUUUCUAACAAAGAUAUCUACAUAUAUUUCAGGAUGUUGUGCAUCCCUGGAAAUAAUCAGAAUCAUUUAAAUAUUACAGUUUUGCGGGACAAGGUAAGUUAAGCCGCCUAUUUCUGUACUGAAUUAAA